Molecule: non-coding RNA, 729 nt
Organism: Durio zibethinus
Lineage: Eukaryota; Viridiplantae; Streptophyta; Magnoliopsida; Malvales; Malvaceae
Source: RefSeq, a predicted model, not a curated record
AAUUUUUGCAGCUUUUUUCUGAUAUUUUUCCAUGAAAGUUUACAAGUUUUACAGAACUGAAGUACUAAGUGCUGCUGGGUGAAUUGGAAUUUGGUACCAUUGAGGAAUGAAUUUGAAUAGAAAGGACCUGAAAGAAGAUUCAAAUUGGGAUAUUUCUGUUAUGGUUGAGCAUUCAUCCUCUUGUCUUACUCCUCCUUUUUUUUCUUCUUUUUUUAAUGGAACUUCCAGGGAAGCUACAGCAUGUUGAGAUUUUGCACGAACCAAUAUGUACUGGGAAGGAAAAGGUUUCCCAUCCUUGAAUCAAAAUUUUCUUCGAAAGAGGUUCAUAUGACCAAAAUUUCAAGUAUUUGUCUUUCUAAUUGGAAAUUCUAAUGCUUAUUGCCAUUGGAAAGAGUUUGUAUGAACACGAUACAUCAAUUUGUAUUUAAACAACAAAGGAAUCGUGUUCUUUUCAUUUUGGUGUGGGUUUUUGUGGGAAUGAUUGGCAAUUGGCAUCCAGAUUAGAAUGAAAUGAAACCAUUUUCCAUUUCCAAAGCACUAUGAUUUUGACAGUUUGAGCAAAAGGAAAAGAGGUGCCUUCAAUUUACUUAUUCUAAACGAAUAUCAAGUUCAUCAAUAAGGCAAAUUCAUGGCAUUUGGAGCCUUAUUUCAUAUUUUUUAAUUGACUACUUUCGUACUAAGAAAAUGGCUUAUUUAAUUGACAACAAUAACACUAAGAAAAUCACAAAA